RNAcentral lists this ribosomal RNA (991 nucleotides) under Hyaloperonospora parasitica. RNAcentral describes it as "LSU rRNA". It matches the Rfam family "Eukaryotic large subunit ribosomal RNA", at positions 72 to 855 of the family's 3401-position model. Lineage: Eukaryota; Oomycota; Peronosporomycetes; Peronosporales; Peronosporaceae. The record is from RNAcentral.
GGAUUCCCCUAGUAACGGCGAGUGAAGCGGGAUGAGCUCAAGCUUAAAAUCUCUGUCACAAAUUUAUUUUGUGCGGCGAAUUGUAGUCUAUAGAGGCGUGAUCAGUGUAGGCGCUUGAGGUAAGUUCCUUGAAAAAGGACAGCAUGGAGGGUGAAACUCCCGUUCAUACUUAAGUGGCUUGCACGUACGAUUCGUUUUCUUUGAGUCGCGUUGUUUGAGAAUGCAGCGCAAAGUAGGUGGUAAAUUCCAUCUAAAGCUAAAUAUUGGUGCGAGACCGAUAGCGAACAAGUACCGUGAGGGAAAGAUGAAAAGAACUCUGAAAAGAGAGUUAAAGAGUACCUGAAACUGCUGAAAGGGAACCAAAUCGUUUCUAGUGUCUAUAAUCUAUGACAUAUUUCAUUGGGAAGUGUGUGCGUGUGUAUACUAUGGCAGCGGCUUUUUUAGUUGCGCUUGGUGUGCGUGCUGUAUGUACUAACUGAUGCCCUGUGUUAUAGUGGGACGUCAAGGUCAGUUUGUAUACUGCGGGAAAUGGCUACUGAGGAGGUAGGGCUUACGCUUGCGUUUGUCUAUUAUAUCUUGGUAGUUGUGUCGUGGUUGAGACUGAGGUGUUCUACAACGUGCUUAUGAGUGGGUCUACGUCUCCGUGUGCGCCGUGUGCAGAUAGCUUGCUAUGUGUAUGUGGUGGUGUGUGGAUUGAUAUGGGCUUUAUCUUACUGCCGUUCGGGACUUUGACGAAAUAGAGCGAUUUGACCCGUCUUGAAACACGGACCAAGGAGUCUAACAUAUGUGCAAGUGUUAGGGUGUGGAAACCCCAGCGCGAAAUGAAAGUAAAGGAUAGUGUAAACUAUCUUAGGUAGGAAACGUUAUGAACUUCGGUUUGUGGCGUGGCACUAUCGACCGAUCAUGAACCCUCGUGGUGAAAGAUUUGAGUUUGAGCACAUAUGUUGGUACCCGAAAGAUGGUGAACUAUGCCUGAGUAGGGUGAAGCCAG